CUACGGUGAAUACGUUCCCGGACCUUGUACACACCGCCCGUCAAGCCAUGGAAGCUGGGUGUACCUAAAGUCGAUAACCGUAAGGAGUCGCCUAGGGUAAAAACUAGUAACUGGGGCU
This 118-nucleotide ribosomal RNA is filed under the name uncultured bacterium. RNAcentral's name for it is "partial 16S ribosomal RNA". It matches the Rfam family "Bacterial small subunit ribosomal RNA", at positions 1357 to 1482 of the family's 1533-position model. The record is from RNAcentral.